GACGAACGCUGGCGGCGUGCUUAACACAUGCAAGUCGAACGAAGUGGCGAACGGGUGAGUAACGCGUAAUCAACUUGCCCUUCAGAGGGGGACAACAGUUGGAAACGACUGCUAAUACCGCAUACUGAAGGAGGGGAUUGCGUCUGAUUAGCUAGUUGGGGGGGUAACGGCCCAACAAGGCGAUGGUCAGUAGCCGGGCUGAGAGGGUGGACCGCCAAAUUGGGACCGGGACACGGCCCAGGCUCCUACGGGAGGCAGCAGUGGGGGAACUUCCGCAAUGGAGGAAAGUCUGACGGAGCAACGCCGCGUGAGUUAUGACGGCCUUCGGGUUGUAAAGCUCUGUUAAUCGGGACGCGGUACCGGAAUAGAAAGCCACGGCUAACUACGUGCCAGCAGCCGCGGUAAUAC
Molecule: ribosomal RNA, 408 nt
Filed under: uncultured bacterium
Lineage: Bacteria
Description: partial 16S ribosomal RNA
Rfam family: Bacterial small subunit ribosomal RNA
Source: RNAcentral